RNAcentral lists this ribosomal RNA (560 nucleotides) under uncultured rumen bacterium. RNAcentral's name for it is "bacterial SSU rRNA". It matches the Rfam family "Bacterial small subunit ribosomal RNA", at positions 62 to 636 of the family's 1533-position model. The record is from RNAcentral.
UCGAACGGAACCUUCGGGUUUAGUGGCGAACGGGUGAGUAAAGCGCAGGUAAUCUGCCGCAAAGACGGGGACAACGUUGCGAAAGUGACGCUAAUACCGGAUGUUAUAUGAGAGGCGCAUGACUUUCAUAUUAAAGAUUUAUCGCUUUGCGAGGAGCCUGCGUCCGAUUAGGUAGUUGGUGGUGUAAGGGACUACCAAGCCGACGAUCGGUAGCCGGUCUGAGAGGAUGAACGGCCACAAUGGAACUGAGACACGGUCCAUACUCCUACGGGAGGCAGCAGUGGGGAAUAUUCCACAAUGGGCGAAAGCCUGAUGGAGCGACGCCGCGUGAGUGAAGAAGGGCUUCGGCUCGUAAAGCUCUUUUCCUGUUGACGAAUUGGUAUUGGAUACAGUUGACGGUAGAUGGGGAAUAAGCCACGGCUAACUACGUGCCAGCAGCCGCGGUAAUACGUACGUGGCAAGCGUNGUCCGGAAUUAUUGGCCGUAAAGGGAGCGCAGGCGGGAUUUCAAGUCCAAAUUUAAAGUUCGGGAGUAAUGCCCCGUGAUGGUUUGGAAACUGA